CAAAGGCUCCAAAGGAAGCCACGGCUAACUCUGUGCCAGCAGCCGCGGUAAUACAGAGGUGGCAAGCGUUGUUCGGAAUUAUUGGGCGUAAAGAGCACGUAGGUGGGUUUGUAAGUCAGAUGUGGAAGCCUUCUGCUCAACGGAAGAAUUGCAUCUGAAACUGCGAGUCUUGAGUGUAGGAGGGGAGAAUGGAACUUCUGGUGGAGCGGUGAAAUGCGUAGAUAUCAGAAGGAACGCCGGCGGCGAAAGCGAUUCUCUGGCCUAUUACUGACUCUGAGUGUGCGAAAGCUAGGGGAGCAAACGGGAUUAGAUACCCCGGUAGUCCUAGCCGUAAA
This 335-nucleotide ribosomal RNA is filed under the name uncultured Planctomycetales bacterium. RNAcentral describes it as "bacterial SSU rRNA". It matches the Rfam family "Bacterial small subunit ribosomal RNA", at positions 473 to 806 of the family's 1533-position model. The record is from RNAcentral. Lineage: Bacteria; Pseudomonadati; Planctomycetota; Planctomycetia; Planctomycetales.